UACGUAGGGGGCGAGCGUUGUCCGGAUUUAUUGGGCGUAAAGAGCGUGUAGGCGGCCAGGUAGGUCUGCUGUGAAAACUCGAGGCUCAACCUCGAGACGUCGGCGGAAACCAUCUGGCUAGAGUCCGGAAGAGGAGAGUGGAAUUCCUGGUGUAGCGGUGAAAUGCGCAGAUAUCUGGAGGAACACCGGUGGCGAAGGCGGCAUCCUGGACCGGUAUUGACACUGAGGCGCGAAAGCCAGGGGAGCAAACGGG
RNAcentral lists this ribosomal RNA (253 nucleotides) under uncultured bacterium. RNAcentral's name for it is "partial 16S ribosomal RNA". It matches the Rfam family "Bacterial small subunit ribosomal RNA", at positions 524 to 776 of the family's 1533-position model. The record is from RNAcentral.